GUGUACCUUUUCACAUAGCAAUAAAACAGAUUGUGGUUUUAUGGAGUGAGUGGUGUUAUAUCUGUCAAUCUUAUGUGUUUAAAUACGUAAAUGUGUGAAAUUCAGGAUUUUGCUAUUGAGCAUAAGGAUAUUUAUAUAAAGAAAUAUUCGGGGUGCUCAGAAAUGGACUUAUACAUCACCGACUCACUCCAGGAUAUGCUGGACAUGGACAUCAAGAACGAGAUGGCCACAGAUCUAAGCAGUAUAACGGACUUUCCGGAUUCCCUGGGACUAAAUUUUUCCGAACUCCCUCCCCUAUUAGAUAUGGAUACAGACAAUUCUGCUAUAUGGCUCAACAACUCGUCUAGUUUUGUUCACAAUUUAGACCUGUAUGGUUCCGAAGCAAACGCCGUAAUGGUGAAUCCUAACUCUGUAAUGCCGUCCACAUUCGCUGAAACUCCGGUAAAGAGUAUUGUUAAGGAAGAGGCGUCAAAUUUAUUACUAACGUCAGCAGCCAGCAGUGAUUCAAAUAGCAGUACGUCGGCACCCAGCCCUAAAGAAGAGAAGAGCCAUCUUACCUUCUCACCGAACACGAUUAAGGUACCUAAGGUGGAACCAGAAGAGCCCCUUGUCAAGAAACCCCUAGAAGAAGCCACACAAAUGGUCAUCUAUGUGCGAAAACAGGACAAGCAUGUAGUGAAGGAUUUACUGAAGGACUUGGACACCAGCAAACUGAAGACCACCGCCACGCCCACGCCAACUCAAACCGUCAGGAUAAAGGCAACCCAGGAACUAAUCAAAGUCAAUAAUAAGAACUGUUCAAUUCUAAACACGAGCCAAAAAGUAACGCAACAAUUAGGAACUAAAACCAUUAUUUCCGGCAAUAUUCAUAUAUUAGACGCACAGCAAUCUAGGACAAUUUUAGCAAAUAGUAACAAGAGUCAAGCGACAAUACUAAUUGACAACUCGUCGUUGAACAAUAAUAGGCAAAUAAUUAAGACUUCGGUUAACGGAGCGUUCACAGUGGACGCGAGCCAAGCGAAGUUUGUAAACACGACAACCAAGCUUACUGCCGGGGCGGGAGAGUUCCCUAAACCCGCGUAUUCUUACUCUUGUCUGAUCGCGAUGGCGCUCAAAAACUCGAGGACCGGUAGUUUACCCGUGUCAGAGAUUUACAACUUCAUGUGUCAACAUUUCCCUUAUUUCAAAACGGCGCCAAAUGGCUGGAAAAAUUCAGUACGUCACAAUCUUAGUUUAAAUAAAUGUUUUGAGAAAAUUGAAAAGCCGUCGACGAAUGGCAGUCAAAGAAAAGGUUGCUUAUGGGCGAUGAAUCCUUCGAAAGUGGGGAAAAUGGAUGAGGAAGUUCAAAAGUGGUCACGGAAAGAUCCUCAGGCUAUUAAAAAGGCGAUGGUUUAUCCAGAAAGCCUAGAAGCGCUAGAACGGGGCGAGAUGAAGUACAGUGGAGCGGCGGGAGACGCAGAAGACGACGACGCAGACGGAGACCCCGACGCCGAGCUGGACGCGGACGUCGAGAUCGACCCCGAGAUCAAGACCGAGGUCGACGAGGAGGAGAUCAUCGAGCAGGAGGUGUCGGACCAGGAGCUGGAGGUGGAGGAGGUGUCGGGCACGGGCAUGGUGGGCGGCACGUACCGCCUGCUGGCCGCGUCCGGCGCGCUGCACGAGUACCUCGAGCCUGACGACGACGAGAGCGACAUCGAGGUGAGUCCACCCUUGCCUGUACGUGUACACCGUGCUGCAGGUGUCAGACAGGUGGUAGAGGAGGUGUCAGGCACACGGGCAUGGUGGGCGGCACGUACCGCCUGCUGGCCGCGUCCGGCGCGCUGCACGAGUACCUCGAGCCUGACGACGACGAGAGCGACAUCGAGGUGAGUCCACCCUUGCCUGUACGUGUACACCGUGCUGCAGGUGUCAGACAGGUGGUAGAGGAGGUGUCAGGCACACGGGCAUGGUGGGCGGCACGUACCGCCUGCUGGCCGCGUCCGGCGCGCUGCACGAGUACCUCGAGCCUGACGACGACGAGAGCGACAUCGAGGUGAGUCCACCCUUGCCUGUACGUGUACACCGUGCUGCAGGUGUCAGACAGGUGGUAGAGGAGGUGUCAGGCACACGGGCAUGGUGGGCGGCACGUACCGCCUGCUGGCCGCGUCCGGCGCGCUGCACGAGUACCUCGAGCCUGACGACGACGAGAGCGACAUCGAGGUGAGUCCACCCUUGCCUGUACGUGUACACCGUGCUGCAGGUGUCAGACAGGUGGUAGAGGAGGUGUCAGGCACACGGGCAUGGUGGGCGGCACGUACCGCCUGCUGGCCGCGUCCGGCGCGCUGCACGAGUACCUCGAGCCUGACGACGACGAGAGCGACAUCGAGGUGAGUCCACCCUUGCCUGUACGUGUACACCGUGCUGCAGGUGUCAGACAGGUGGUAGAGGAGGUGUCAGGCACACGGGCAUGGUGGGCGGCACGUACCGCCUGCUGGCCGCGUCCGGCGCGCUGCACGAGUACCUCGAGCCUGACGACGACGAGAGCGACAUCGAGGUGAGUCCACCCUUGCCUGUACGUGUACACCGUGCUGCAGGUGUCAGACAGGUGGUAGAGGAGGUGUCAGGCACACGGGCAUGGUGGGCGGCACGUACCGCCUGCUGGCCGCGUCCGGCGCGCUGCACGAGUACCUCGAGCCUGACGACGACGAGAGCGACAUCGAGGUGAGUCCACCCUUGCCUGUACGUGUACACCGUGCUGCAGGUGUCAGACAGGUGGUAGAGGAGGUGUCAGGCACACGGGCAUGGUGGGCGGCACGUACCGCCUGCUGGCCGCGUCCGGCGCGCUGCACGAGUACCUCGAGCCUGACGACGACGAGAGCGACAUCGAGGUGUUAGAUCAAUCGUAUGAAGAAAUCGAUAUCGACGUAACAAAACCCAUGAAGUUGGACCUAUCAGUCACAGAAAAUUAUACAAUUCAUUCCGCGAAGAGGGCGAAGACGAGCUUCAUCUACCAGCCGGUGACGACGCAGGCGCACACAAGCCGACGGAAAACGCCGCUCGUCAACCGGGUCGCACUCAUCUAGACCACACACACACACACACAUGUGAUCUACAGGGGUCGAGGUGGUAGGUAGUUUAGCGUAGGCGAACCAGUGAUCGUUCUGUUCCAUUAAAAAUUAAAUAAUGUCAAAUUCGAAUUGUAAUAGUUAAGUCGAGCGUGUGGUGCCCCUUUUUGGCACGUAAAAAGUAUGCCCGUAGUGUGAGGCUGUUUCGCGAGCGGACACUUGUUACAUAUCUUACACUGUAUAUUAGGUUAGUUUAUGGGGAAAUCGAAGCUCACGCGUGACCGCUUCGGCGUUAGAUAGUGAGGUCCGUGAAACUUUUAAUAAUGGUACUAUGAAAUAAAUAAUAGUGUUCAAACGUAGGCGAUACGAGUAUGAAAUGUUCCCGUAAUAGUUUGUAAGGGGCUGUGUUGCGGCCGCAUUAUGAGUACAAAAACAUUUCUGCUACUGUACUGACACUUUUAUACGUUUAGUGAAAUAUUGCGUUACUUAGCAUUUAUAACUAUAUUUUGCUAAAAAGGGAAUUGGUAGUUAUCCCGUAAACAGUUUACUGCUUUAGCAUCAGAAUUUACUAAAUGAAAUAACACCAAAUGUAGUAAAUAAACAAAUUGAUAGUGUUAGUGAAUAAUUCAUUCCAUCGGCAACAACUUCUAGUUGUUUACCAAUUUUCUCGUAAUCUAUUGAGCAUCAUUGAUAGGGACUAUGGAAAUCGGUUGAGUUAUCGACUAAAGUCUCGGUACAGUAGCGCACCAUAGCGGGUAUUGAGUAAGUUCCCACCGCUAUAACAUUUAAUGUUCUACUUUACAGAAGACAGUGGACACUGGCGGCUCUAGUCUGUUAAGCAUUAUAGUGCCAAAUACUGUUCCACGCGGUAAACAAUAACUAAGUUGUGUUAUGUUUAUCUGUAUACGAGUACUGGAACUAUGUGGCAACUAUACCGUUUUACUUGUAACCUCCUAUCACGCAACUCUACGGCCUUGACAACAACAUGCAAUUAGAUGCUAAGGUCGUGUCACGGAAAAUGCAAAAUGUUUCACUAACUACGUCUUGUAUUAACAUAUAUGACUCAGUAUUUGUCUUGAGUCAGUAAUCGGACAUAUAGAGCAAUGAACUUCUAUACCAAUUGGUAAAUGGUAUAUGCAAACAGUAAAACAAGUCGUAUAUUGCAGGAUAUUUGACUUGUAUUGACUAUUUUUAGGCACAGCAUUAAUGUUUUGUUGUAAAGGCUAAUAAAAGACGAGCGAUGAUGGAAGAUUUUUACCAAAACAAAUGACUCUUCUCUGAGCCUAUAGCCCGGGAUCGUACCUGUCCCAACUCCUAACUUAGCUGGGUUCAGAAAUGACUCAUUUUUAUACAAUACCUCUCAAUGAUUAAUUAAGACUAUUAAGUAUGUGACGUUAUUGUGUUUGUUCUUUGUUAAGUGUUUCUCGUACGAGCAAAACAAUAAGUUUGUCAAUAAAUACGCUGGCUAAUCAUGUCAAUAAGCUAUAUAUAGGUCAUUCCAGGCGAUAUCUUAUGAAAUAGGUAGGGUGUGCUCAGUUAAAUCUUCUAGUCGGCAGCAUACGUUCUAAAUAGAGAGAGACGGAUGCGUUUGUCGGCUAGCCCUGCUGUUGUGCCUAGGUUCUGUUAUUUAUGACGUACUUAUGGAAGAAUAACCAUACAUUAUCCCCAACUCUAUUGUGUUGGUAUUUUCAUUCAGCUUCAGGAUAUUCAUAUAUCUAAUCUCUAUAAUCGUAAUAAAUAACAGCGACUAGUUUCGAGUAGUUAGUCUUCCAGGCAAUAGAAAAAUACUUUCAUGAAAGUGCUUUUACAGAAUAACUGAUUAAAAGUUUGCUAUAGACUUUUCCAGUAGUAUUUUAAGUGAUUGAAAUGAGGUGCAAAAUUAUAUUAAGGUUGUGUUGAUAACGGUAGAUCUCAUGUCUUCAAGAUCAUGGUUUGUUACGAAAAAGCACACCCCUAGUCCAAUGCAUUUAAACUUUAAACACGUUACGCGGUGAGGACGAGUGACCUGUCAGAAGUUCAAGACUAUUUGCAGUACAAGUGUGUUACAAGCGCUAUUUGUACAAGAGUUCAAAUAUUACUGAUCACCGAUGUUUGUUAUGGCGACCGUAGGUAGGUACCGUGACGACACACUUGCAGUGCAAAAAUUUUAACUUAUGAUAUGGACACAUCGGAUUGAUGAAAUUUCAUGUGAUACGAUGUUAGGAAAAGUAACGUGCAAAAGGGACUUGUGAUUUAUUGGAUGUGAAUGUGUUAGUGAAAUUGUGUUAACAAAAAGAUUGUGUUAAAAAGAGUAAUGGCGUAAUGGACUGACAACAAAGCCUAAAAUUUAUAAACAUGGUCGUUUAUAUCUGGCUAAACGUUCAGUAUAACUCGCAACUUAGGUUUAUUGAAGUUUUCUAUGUUAGUACGUAGGUAUAUCUUUAUUGUGGCAUUCUUCUCCGCAAACAUCGCUUCACGCGAGUAAUGAACUGUAAUCAAUUUGUACCUAUAUCAUUUUUUUCCCGAGAAGCACAUAAUUCUUUUGUUGUCUAAGUAGGUAUGUCCUUAAUUUUGUAUCAUUGCUCCAUUUACACCAUGCGCGCACUUUAGUUAUUUUUAAUCAGUUUUAGAACAAAAUGAAUUCUCUAAAUGAACAAAGAUCAAUCUGUUGAGCAUCAGGACUGCAAUCGUUUAUAUUUUUGUCGAUGUUUCUUGCUUAGAAGAAUCCACCUGUUAUCAAUGAUGCGUUUUGCUACAUUACAUUACGCAUCACUCCAUAUGCCCAUUACUCUUUUACGGUAUAUUAUGUAAGUAGCUAAUUAGAUCAUGGCCCAAGUAACAAAUCUGUCUUGAAUGGUAGCGGCGGUUGCGCACGAGGCGAUUCGUUUUAAGGCGCACUGUUUAUGUUAUGAAGCAUCUAGGACCAAAAGUUCGUGUGUGAAAACGUUCGUCGCGCAGUGCAAAACCGCCCAAGUUUAUGGAUGUUGGUUAAUCUGAAUGAAGGGAAAUGUAAUUAACAUUAAAUCAUUUUACGGUUUAGACUCACUUGUUUUAGUCACUCGCGCGACACGCGAGGGAAAUGUAACUUGUACUAUAUUGAAAUCACCAGCGUUCUGAAGUCGGAACGCAACAAGACAUUAUUAGGUGCAUACUACUAUUAUUAUUGACAUUAUUAAUAAAAUUUCAAUAGCGUGCAAUGUGUAAAUAGAUUUAGCGGGAAAUAAUUUGCUUAUAAUAAUUAAUAACACUGCGUAUGUUUGUGAAUUUUUAUUGAUAAUAAAUUAAUACAUAAAUACUAUUUUAACUACACUUACGUGUUUAUGAAUUAUGUGUAAGCAAAACAUUUGCUGAAAAACGAUAAUUUUGUAUUGCUUGAAGGUAAACCCCACUUGUCGUGAUAUAUAAAUAGGUAUCCACGUCAAACUGUCUCCAAGAGAAUUGCAUUUAACCCAUUUUCCAAGACCGAAGUGCCCAUAAGGCCUCAUCCUCACGAGCGCUUUUUCAACGCGCGUUAAAAAAGCGUUUAAAUGACAAAUGGAUACAUGUGUAUUUAUUCACACGAUGGCGGUGGCGCUUUUUAGCAAGCGUUGUUUGAUUUUCGACUUUAAGCGUUGGCCGUUAAAUCUAAUUUAGUGUGCGGGCAGCUCCAAGCGCUUUUUUAAAACGCGCGUUGAAAAAGUGCUCGUGUAGGCUCUCUAAGAGCUCCGAGAACAAAGUUUUGUACGGAGCUCUAAAAAUGCAAGGUAGGGCGAAAUUGUUGCUAAUGGCGUAUUGGAUUGGAUGUAUCUAGUGGAACUGCCUCAAAAAGCAAUGCCAAGAAUCUGAACUUUUAAUAUUGGACUUCCGUAAAGUAAUAAAUAAUGAAGCAAUGUAACGUAUCUCUAACCAAUUUUGUAAUAUAAAAUAGAAUUUGUAUUUUUCCACUGCCAGUAUUUCAACAUCCAUGUAAAAUAUGAUUAAAUAAAAUAGUUUGUAAGACAGCAGUAGCAAUUUAAAUGUAGGUUUAUUACUAAAUAAUGUAAGGAUGCCGAGUCGAAUAUGAUUUUUUAAUAACAUUUUUGUAAUAAAAAUGAAUUUCAAUAA
RNA transcript from Cydia strobilella, 7106 nucleotides. RefSeq lists it as uncharacterized. NCBI's taxonomy places the organism in Eukaryota, Metazoa, Arthropoda, Insecta, Lepidoptera, Tortricidae. The record is from RefSeq and is a predicted model, not a curated record. The transcript has 8 exons.